Molecule: small nucleolar RNA, 107 nt
Filed under: Jatropha curcas
Lineage: Eukaryota; Viridiplantae; Streptophyta; Magnoliopsida; Malpighiales; Euphorbiaceae
Description: Plant small nucleolar RNA R71
Rfam family: Plant small nucleolar RNA R71
About the family: R71 is a member of the C/D box family of snoRNAs containing the C (UGAUGA) and D (CUGA) box motifs. Multiple nearly identical copies of this snoRNA have been identified in Arabidopsis, and it is thought to function as a 2'-O-ribose methylation guide for 18S ribosomal RNA.
Source: Rfam by way of RNAcentral
AAGCUGUGAUGUGGGCACUUUCUCAAUAAGUUCUUGAACCUCUCCUAAGCUUCGUAAAAACUCUCUUGAUCAUGGUGGACAAAAGUCAUUAUCUCAUUAUUCAGUUU